RNAcentral lists this RNase P RNA (303 nucleotides) under Betta splendens (Siamese fighting fish). RNAcentral's name for it is "Nuclear RNase P (ENSBSLG00000001757.1)". It matches the Rfam family "Nuclear RNase P". From Rfam's summary of the family: Ribonuclease P (RNase P) is a ubiquitous endoribonuclease, found in archaea, bacteria and eukarya as well as chloroplasts and mitochondria. Its best characterised activity is the generation of mature 5'-ends of tRNAs by cleaving the 5'-leader elements of precursor-tRNAs. Cellular RNase Ps are ribonucleoproteins. The record is from Rfam by way of RNAcentral. Lineage: Eukaryota; Metazoa; Chordata; Actinopteri; Anabantiformes; Osphronemidae.
GUGGGAGGAAGCUCAUUGUAGAGGUCACGUGCUGAGUGCUCGUCACUCCACCAAUCACCUCGGGGAAGGUCUGAGACAAGAGCCAAUAGCGACCCUUGCAGGGUCUCACCUGAUGCGGGUGAGCGAGCGAACAGAAAGAAGGGCGGCUGAGCUGCUCAGCAGGAGAAGCCGUGCGGGGCAGCUUCCGUUCCGCCGGUGGAUGCGGCACUCAGCGGCUUGGAAUCACUCGCGGCUGGCGAACUGAGUGCGAUGUAUGAGGUGGAGCACGGCUCCAGAACCCAAUUCAGACUACUCUCCCCCCAC